This 460-nucleotide ribosomal RNA is filed under the name uncultured bacterium. RNAcentral describes it as "bacterial SSU rRNA". It matches the Rfam family "Bacterial small subunit ribosomal RNA", at positions 338 to 795 of the family's 1533-position model. The record is from RNAcentral.
CCUACGGGAGGCUGCAGUGGGGAAUAUUGGGCAAUGGGCGCAAGCCUGACCCAGCCAUCCCGCGUGGGGGAAGAAGGUCCAUAGGAUUGUAAACUCCUUUUAACCGAGAGUAAAAGCUCGAUAACUUCGGGCCGUGAACGUAUCGGUGGAAUAAGGUUCGGCUAACUACGUGCCAGCAGCCGCGGUAAUACGUAGGAACCAAGCGUUGUCCGGAUUUACUGGGUUUAAAGGGUGCGCAGGCGGUUUGGUCAGUCGAAAAUGAAAUGUCAGGGCUUAACCUUGGCGCCGUUUUCGAUACUGCUAGACUUGAGAAUGGGCGAGGCGGCUGGAAUGAGUGGUGUAGCGGUGAAAUGCGUAGAGAUCACUCAGAACACCAAUUGCGAAGGCAGGUCGCUGGCCCGUAACUGACGCUCAGGCACGAAAGCGUGGGGAGCAAACAGGAUUAGAUACCCCUGUAGUC